AUUGAACGCUGGCGGCAGGCCUAACACAUGCACGUCGAACGAGUGGCGUACGGGUGAGUAAUGUCUGGGAAACUGCCUGAUGGAGGGGGAUAACUACUGGAAACGGUAGCUAAUACCGCAUCCCAUCAGAUGUGCCCAGAUGGGAUUAGCUAGUGGGUGGGGUAACGGCUCACCAAGGCGACGAUCCCUAGCUGGUCUGAGAGGAUGACCAGCCACACUGGAACGGGGACACGGUCCAGACUCCUACGGGAGGCAGCAGUGGGGAAUAUUGAACAAUGGGCGCAAGCCUGAUGCAGCCAUGCCGGGUGUAGGAAGAAGGCCUUCGGGUUGUAAAGUACUUUCAGCGGGGAGGCGUUACCCGCAGAAGAAACACCGGCUAACUCAGUGCCAGCAGCCGCGGUAAUAC
This 406-nucleotide ribosomal RNA is filed under the name uncultured bacterium. RNAcentral's name for it is "partial 16S ribosomal RNA". It matches the Rfam family "Bacterial small subunit ribosomal RNA", at positions 30 to 526 of the family's 1533-position model. The record is from RNAcentral.